This 1098-nucleotide long non-coding RNA is filed under the name Olea europaea subsp. europaea. The record is from RNAcentral. Lineage: Eukaryota; Viridiplantae; Streptophyta; Magnoliopsida; Lamiales; Oleaceae.
CUCCUCCCUUGUUUUUAAAAAGAAUUAUUCACCCCAAACUCAAUCUCUCUCUCUCUCUCUCUCUCUCUCUCAACCCUCUAUCUAGAUCGUCGGCGUGAAGAUCUCUUUCAAAUCCAAAAGGGUGGCAGUUUUAUUAACCCUUGUUAAACUGGAAAGACGUUAGCGAGACAAAUUAGACCGACAUAUUUGCACAAUUUCUUCAGAAUUUGAAAUCAAAGACGUCGACGACACAAGCCCUUUUUUUCACAAUCUCUUGCCCACAGAUUCUCGACUCAGAAGUAAGAUGAUUCCUGUCUCUUGAAGCAGAUCCUUAAAAGCUAUGGACUUGCAUUGGGGAGAAAAAAAUCACUAAAUGAAUUGGUCGAGGACAAUAUGCUUCAUUGACUCUCAUAAAGAGCAAUGUAAGUUGAAAACCUUUUGUCCGAUAAUAAAAGGAGCAUAGCGGCCAGGGAUUACAUGGAAAAAGAGAUUUUUCGCCUCCUACAAUCAACAUGUGGGUUCCAGAUCCUCUGUGGCCUCAAUUUCAUUAUAAGUUGGAAAUGAUUAUUUCGUUAUAAAUCAUCUCAACAAGUUCCAACUCCUUGUAUUAUAAGUUUCAUUUUCACAUGAGAUUGGGAAUCCGUGAGCCCAUAUAUUACUUUCCAUGAAACAUUUCAAUUGCAAUAUCCUCAUCUUUAUUUCAGACAGUAUUCUCAAUUGUCAUACUUUAAUUUCUGGUUAUAAGCUAAGAAAGGUUGAACAUGAUGUAAUCAUGCUUGUAUGCACUUUUAUGUUUUUAGUCUAGCUUUCCCCUUUAGUGUUUUUUUGUAUUAUUGACAACAUUCUAUUGGGAUGUAUAUACAUACAGGUGCUAUUGUAUUGAUGCGAACCCGAUCAGCAAGGUUGCAAUCGAACUUACAGGAUAUUGAAUCGGAUCCAAAGAACGCCAAUAUGACCAAGGUUUAUGGAUCUGACCCCAAAAUAGUGAACCAAGCAACCCAACAAGAACGUUGCUUUAAAGACCUCUUGAUCACACGAUUGAAGAAAUCACACCCGGAUUGUGGAUUUGAACCAAUAAAAGAUGAACCAAAAAAUCCAACGGUAACGUUGACGUGAAAG